GAUUAACGCUGGCGGCGUGCAUAACACAUGCAAGUCGAACGAUGAAACUUAGUAGACUUCUUCGGAAAGACACUAAGCGGAUUAGUGGCGACCGGGUGAGUAACGCGUGAGUAACCUGCCUUACACAAGGGGAUAGCCUUUGGAAACGAAGAAUAAUACCCUAUAAAACCAUAAAAGCACAUGCUAGAAUGGUCAAAGUGAUAGCGGUGUAAGAUGGACUUGCGUCUGAUUAGCUAGUUGGUGAGAUAAAAGCUCACCAAGGCAACGAUCAGUAGCCGGCUUGAGAGAGUGUACGGCCACAUUGGGACUGAGACACGGCCCAGACUCCUACGGGAGGCAGCAGUGGGGAAUUUUGCACAAUGGGGGAAACCCUGAUGCAGCGACGCCGCGUGAUUUAGAAGGCCUUCGGGUUGUAAAAAUCUUUUGUAUAGGAAGAAAAUGACAGUACUAUACGAAUAAGGUCCGGCUAAUUACGUG
This 477-nucleotide ribosomal RNA is filed under the name uncultured bacterium. RNAcentral describes it as "partial 16S ribosomal RNA". It matches the Rfam family "Bacterial small subunit ribosomal RNA", at positions 28 to 507 of the family's 1533-position model. The record is from RNAcentral.